UACCAGCUGGCUGCAACUGUUUAUUAAAAACACAGCACUGUGCAAACACGAAAGUGGACGUAUACGGUGUGACGCCUGCCCGGUGCCGGAAGGUUAAUUGAUGGGGUCAGCGCAAGCGAAGCUCCUGAUCGAAGCCCCGGUAAACGGCGGCCGUAACUAUAACGGUCCUAAGGUAGCGAAAUUCCUUGUCGGGUAAGUUCCGACCUGCACGAAUGGCGUAAUGAUGGCCAGGCUGUCUCCACCCGAGACUCAGUGAAAUUGAACUCGCUGUGAAGAUGCAGUGUACCCGCGGCAAGACGGAAAGACCCCGUGAACCUUUACUAUAGCUUGACACUGAACAUUGAGCCUUGAUGUGUAGGAUAGGUGGGAGGCUUUGAAGCGUGGACGCCAGUCUGCGUGGAGCCGACCUUGAAAUACCACCCUUUAAUGUUUGAUGUUCUAACGUGGACCCGUAAUCCGGGUUGCGGACAGUGUCUGGUGGGUAGUUUGACUGGGGCGGUCUCCUCCUAAAGAGUAACGGAGGAGCACGAAGGUUGGCUAAUCCUGGUCGGACAUCAGGAGGUUAGUGCAAUGGCAUAAGCCAGCUUGACUGCGAGCGUGACGGCGCGAGCAGGUGCGAAAGCAGGUCAUAGUGAUCCGGUGGUUCUGAAUGGAAGGGCCAUCGCUCAACGGAUAAAAGGUACUCCGGGGAUAACAGGCUGAUACCGCCCAAGAGUUCAUAUCGACGGCGGUGUUUGGCACCUCGAUGUCGGCUCAUCACAUCCUGGGGCUGAAGUAGGUCCCAAGGGUAUGGCUGUUCGCCAUUUAAAGUGGUACGCGAGCUGGGUUUAGAACGUCGUGAGACAGUUCGGUCCCUAUCUGCCGUGGGCGCUGGAAGACUGAGGGGGGCUGCUCCUAGUACGAGAGGACCGGAGUGGACGCAUCACUGGUGUUCGGGUUGUCAUGCCAAUGGCACUGCCCGGUAGCUAAAUGCGGAAAAGAUAAGUGCUGAAAGCAUCUAAGCACGAAACUUGCCCCGAGAUGAGUCUUCCCUGAGACUUUGAGUCUCCUGAAGGAACGUUAAAGACGAUGACGUUGAUAGGCCGGGUGUGUAAGCGCAGCGAUGCGUUGAGCUAACCGGUACUAAUGAACCGUGAGGCUUAACCUUACAACGCCGAAGCUGUU
This 1164-nucleotide ribosomal RNA is filed under the name Salmonella enterica. RNAcentral describes it as "partial 23S ribosomal RNA". It matches the Rfam family "Bacterial large subunit ribosomal RNA", at positions 1783 to 2925 of the family's 2925-position model. Lineage: Bacteria; Pseudomonadati; Pseudomonadota; Gammaproteobacteria; Enterobacterales; Enterobacteriaceae. The record is from RNAcentral. RNAcentral also lists the same sequence under 1 other name.